Long non-coding RNA from Globicephala melas (long-finned pilot whale), 1614 nucleotides. RefSeq lists it as uncharacterized. The record is from RefSeq and is a predicted model, not a curated record. NCBI's taxonomy places the organism in Eukaryota, Metazoa, Chordata, Mammalia, Artiodactyla, Delphinidae.
GUGGGGCCCAGGCGGCUGCUCCUGCGCCGGCCUGUGCCGCUGCCUCCUUUCGCUUCUGCACCUUGGUUGUUGGGGUGAUGCUUUCUCCCCGCCGGCCUCGGAAGGAUGAGGUGCAGUCUCUUCCCCAGGCUCCGCGAGUUCUCGGAGGCAGAGCCACAGAUGGAAGGAGCCUGGAUCCCUGAGUUAAAGCUUAGAAGAAAUCCACCUGGGAGAGCCACCCAAUGAACAUCAGAAUCUGUCUCUGCCCCACUCCUGUGCCUCAUUUGGACUGCAGCUCAGUUGCUACCUCCUCAGGGAAGCCUUCGCCAACCCUACGGACCAGCUCCUUUCCCUGUUUUCUACUGUCUGCUACUGAGCACUUGACAUUUGUUCUGCCAUCCGACUAUAAGCUCUAUAAGGGAUAUGUGAAGAAAUGAAUAUUCACUUGAGCUGCAUUGGCAAUAAGAAUUACUUUGGGCUGUAUUUUGGAGAAACUGCAGACACAGGAGAAGCUCUGAAAACUGAGAAGUUAUUCUUUUGUAAGGGAUAUUUACAUUUAUAAGGGAAAACUUCUGUAAGGGUAUCUCCCUCUCUGUAACAAGAGGGGGAGGAUAACCGAAUCUAGAAACUUAUCAAUGGAGAAGACAAUGACCUAAAUCUGUGUAAUAACCUUACCCUCGUUUACUGUGCUUUCCCCAGUAGCCUCCCAUAACUAGCUCCCAACACCUUCUUUUGCCUUUAGCUGGAGGUGGUAUUUAAGGUGGUGACUUGAGCCGUUUCUGGGAGUUACUCAGUUUUUCUGAGUAUCUCCCAUGUAUACAGGAGGUACACGUGUUAUUAAACCUCCGUUUGUUUUUCUCUUGUUGCUCUAUCUUGUACUACAGGGGGUGUUUCAGCCAAGAACCUAGAAGGGCAGAGGGAAAUUAUUUUUCCUCCCUUACAUGUCAUCUGGAGGCUAUGUGAUGCCCCCUUGCUUCUUGUAUGUUGGUGCCAAUUCUCUGUCCUGUGAGGAGCUGCAGGUGCUGGCUCUGGUUUAGACAAGUUUUUUUAAAAUUAAAAAAAAAUUAAUAACAUCCUAAUUCAAAGAAAAAUUCUUCUGAUGUCUGUUACUCUCUGAAUGUGCUCAGUCCCGCAUGAAAUUUGGCACUCUAUGUAGUUACUCCCUUAAUUGCAUUCAUGUUUGAUACGUCAAACAGUUCUCAGAUCUGUCAACUUGAGAGCUUGAAGAAGAGCUCCCCGCAAAGCAUACUUCAUAUGAAUCUCAAAGGCUUACAUUACUCCUUAACUAAUCCAAACUGCUGGUCCAUGCCUUCCUCUGGCCAUUGUUCUUAGUUUGCCUGCUUACUUUGAAAGCAUCUUAUUUUUUUUCCUGGGUACCCUUUGCAUAUUCAACGGCUUACCUUUAAACAUGGAUGCUCAAACUAUCUUAUACUGGGUACGAUGUAUAAGGUGAGGUCUAGGGCACCUUCUUGUACAUGAAAGUGGAGGAAGAAUAAUUUAGAUCAAAGGGUCCAUUUCCCAAAAUAUUGGAAAAGUCUUCAUUUCCCUUUGUAUGUAAAACACCACCUAACAACCAAGUUAAGGGGGUUAAUAUUUUAUAUAGGCCCUUCAUAUGGUAAUGACGCUUUUUAAUAA